UGGUUUGUCGCGUUGUUCGUGAAAUCUCACGGCUUAACUGUGAGCGUGCGGGCGAUACGGGCAGACUUGAGUACUGCAGGGGAGACUGGAAUUCCUGGUGUAGCGGUGGAAUGCGCAGAUAUCAGGAGGAACACCGGUGGCGAAGGCGGGUCUCUGGGCAGUAACUGACGCUGAGGAGCGAAAGCGUGGGGAGCGAACAGGAUUAGAUACCCUGGUAGUCCACGCCGUAAACGGUGGGUACUAGGUGUGGGUUUCCUUCCUUGGGAUCCGUGCCGUAGCUAACGCAUUAAGUACCCCGCCUGGGGAGUACGGCCGCAAGGCUAAAACUCAAAGAAAUUGACGGGGGCCCGCACAAGCGGCGGAGCAUGUGGAUUAAUUCGAUGCAACGCGAAGAACCUUACCUGGGUUUGACAUGCACAGGACACCGGCAGAGAUGUCGGUUCCCUUGUGGCCUGUGUGCAGGUGGUGCAUGGCUGUCGUCAGCUCGUGUCGUGAGAUGUCGGGUUAAGUCCCGCAACGAGCGCAACCCUUGUCUCAUGUUGCCAGCGGGUAAUGCCGGGGACUCGUGAGAGACUGCCGGGGUCAACUCGGAGGAAGGUGGGGAUGACGUCAAGUCAUCAUGCCACUUAUGUCCAGGGCUUCACACAUGCUACAAUGGCCGGUACAAAGGGCUGCGAUGCCGCGAGGUUAAGCGAAUCCUUUUAAAGCCGGUCUCAGUUCGGAUCGGGGUCUGCAACUCGACCCCGUGAAGUCGGAGUCGCUAGUAAUCG
RNAcentral lists this ribosomal RNA (770 nucleotides) under uncultured bacterium. RNAcentral describes it as "bacterial SSU rRNA". It matches the Rfam family "Bacterial small subunit ribosomal RNA", at positions 576 to 1344 of the family's 1533-position model. The record is from RNAcentral.